Molecule: transfer RNA, 73 nt
Filed under: Gigantopelta aegis
Lineage: Eukaryota; Metazoa; Mollusca; Gastropoda; Neomphalida; Peltospiridae
Description: tRNA-Met
Rfam family: tRNA
About the family: Transfer RNA (tRNA) molecules are approximately 80 nucleotides in length. Their secondary structure includes four short double-helical elements and three loops (D, anti-codon, and T loops).
Source: RNAcentral
GCCUCGGUAGCGCAGUAGGUAGCGCGUCAGUCUCAUAAUCUGAAGGUCGUGAGUUCGAUCCUCACCCUGGGCA